UAAAAGGUAAACAAAGCCUAUCCAUCUGGAGGACCCUAGCUCUAUCUUCCCUCUGGAGCUUAAACAAAAAGAACAAAACAGGAGUUGCUCUUGCCCCACUUCCAACACAUCACCCAAUUUAUUAGUCGCCCAUCUGGCUGGCUGUCCACUGGGUUCAAUGGGACUUACUUCCAGGUGCGAGCUUCCAACUUGCAAGGUCUUGUUUAUAAAAAUGGCCAGGCUGGGAUUACUGAAGCUACUGUAUCAAUCACCUUUGAUAAUUUUGACAAGAAGCGGAGUCCCCUAGGAUUUGAGAAGCAUGAUGAGAUAACAGUCACAAGGCAGAUGAGCUACUGAUGGAUUCCAUGAGUUUCUAAGUAUUUUAUAUCUUUUAACAGAACUGUAAAUAGACCAGUAUAUUCUGAAAUCCUUUAUUUUGGCACAUGCCAAGUACUUUACUUGCCUAAGUACUGUAACAUCAGACUACAAAAAAAGCUAUGAUAUAUAAUAGGCCCUUGUUUCUUCCUUCUCAAGGUGGUGAUUGGAGGCAGGAAUAAGUAUCUAAUCAAUUGUGUGAAUGCAAACAAUUUUGUUGUUGUUAUGUGCCUUCAAGUCGACUACGAUUUAUGGCGACCUUAUGAAUCGGUGAUCUCCAAGAGCAUCUGUCAAGAAUCACCCUGUUCAGAUCUUGGACAAAUUUCCAAAAUUUUCAAUAUGAAGCCUCCAGAGAUUUUGGCUGUGAUUGAGGAAGCUGAUGGCACUAGGAUGUAUGAAUGCAAGAAAAUAGUUGCCCAGAAAACCAUUGAGAAAAAGAGGCAAAACUUAAAGAAAUUUGCAUGAUUGUAGAGGAAGAAAUCACACCCACGUUGCAGAAACUGAAAGAGGAGCGAUCUUCAUAUUGGGAAUACCAAAAGGUCAUGCGAGAGACAGAACAUCUGAGUCGCCUGUAUGUUGCGUAUCAAUUUGUGCUAGCUGAAGAAACCAAGACACACGCUGCUGAUGUGCUAAAGGAAAUGGAAGGCAAUAUUGCCAAACUUCAGGAGGAGAUGACUGAGAAUGAGAAGAAAGUGAAGGAACUUGGCAUACGUUGGGAUCAACUUGAAGGCAGGCCAUUUCAUUUUAAAUAUAAACACAAAAACUAAUCACAAAGCCCUGCUCUACCCUGAUGCUCCUGGAGCAGGUAGGCCAGACACGUUUCUGCCUUUUGGGCUUCUUCAGUGACCAACUAAAUAAAACCCACCAACAAAAUAGACAAAGCGCCAGCUUGUUCCUUGCCCUGGACUGUCCUACCCUCCUAAUCUCUGAAGAAGAUGACAGAUUUUCUAUAUAUGCUCCUGGUUAUGCUUCCUCCAACUGUAAACUUUGGUUUUCUUGAUAGGCCCACAGAUCUUUCUGGAAUGUGCAAGAUGAAGAUUAUUUUGUAUGUUUUGUGGAGGAUUGAUAGAGUCUUGUAUUUGGACAAGCCUGAUUCAUGUUCUAGUUGAGAAUGGCUGCAUUAAAGCCUUUCUGUGAGUGCCAUUAAAACCACAUAUAUUGUGAUUUUGAGAGGCUAUCUGAGGUAUUAUCCACUGUGAUUCAUACGCUGUUUCUUGAUUAUUUUCCUUCUUUGGCCCCUGAAGAAAACUAAAAGGUGGAAACGCAUCUGGCCUAUCUACUCCAGGAGCACUGAUCUUAAACAGAUACGUGCCUCGUAAGGGCAUUGGAGUGUUUUCUUGUUAGUAGUUGCAUUUAUUUUACUUCAUGACUAUUAAAUAUUUAAAU
Long non-coding RNA from Rhineura floridana, 1740 nucleotides. RefSeq lists it as uncharacterized. NCBI's taxonomy places the organism in Eukaryota, Metazoa, Chordata, Lepidosauria, Squamata, Rhineuridae. The transcript is spliced from 7 exons. The record is from RefSeq and is a predicted model, not a curated record.